AAUUUUUAAUUAUAUUGCACUUGGAAUAUGGAAGAUUGAGAACAUAUGGUUUUUUUACCCCCUUUCCAGAUAUCACUGAAAUCUGGUAGAGGAAUGUCAAUCCAAAAGAAAUCAAGGAAAUCAAGGAGAAAACAGCAGACAAAAUUGUCCAACACCUUUUUUUUCAAGAUGAAAAACAGCUGGGAGAGGUAGCUGAGUAAUUAUAUCAGAAGUAGAAGGGAACAAAAAGAGGGAAACCCGAAGUAUGUUUCCUACGGUCACUCAAACUCCAUGAAGUAACUAUAAUCAUGCUUAUUUUACAAAUGAAGAAAUUGAGGUCUAAA
This is a long non-coding RNA of Callithrix jacchus (white-tufted-ear marmoset), 323 nucleotides long. NCBI's taxonomy places the organism in Eukaryota, Metazoa, Chordata, Mammalia, Primates, Cebidae. The record is from Ensembl.